UUUAUAGCCCCAGAGACUGAAAUUUUCUGUCCACAGAAAACAUACAGCAUGGGCAAUGGCAAUGCAAACUUCCUCACAAUGUCCUCCCAGUAUGACUCAAUCCUGACUACUAUACUAGUGGUAAUUAGUAGCAUACUUAGGGUGCCAUCAUUUUAGUAUCUGGUGCCCUCACAAGUCUCAAGUAGAG
This 187-nucleotide small RNA is filed under the name Chrysemys picta bellii (western painted turtle). RNAcentral's name for it is "TUC338 (ENSCPBG00000014651.1)". Lineage: Eukaryota; Metazoa; Chordata; Testudines; Emydidae. The record is from RNAcentral.